GUCGAGCGAACUGAUUAGAAGCUUGCUUCUAUGACGUUAGCGGCGGACGGGUGAGUAACACGUGGGCAACCUGCCUGUAAGACUGGGAUAACUUCGGGAAACCGAAGCUAAUACCGGAUAGGAUCUUCUCCUUCAUGGGAGAUGAUUGAAAGAUGGUUUCGGCUAUCACUUACAGAUGGGCCCGCGGUGCAUUAGCUAGUUGGUGAGGUAACGGCUCACCAAGGCAACGAUGCAUAGCCGACCUGAGAGGGUGAUCGGCCACACUGGGACUGAGACACGGCCCAGACUAAUACGGGAGGCAGCAGUAGGGAAUCUUCCGCAAUGGACGAAAGUCUGACGGAGCAACGCCGCGUGAGUGAUGAAGGCUUUCGGGUCGUAAAACUCUGUUGUUAGGGAAGAACAAGUACGAGAGUAACUGCUUGUACCUUGACGGUACCUAACCAGAAAGCCACGGCUAACUACGUGCCAGCAGCCGCGGUAAUACGUAGGUGGCAAGCGUUAUCCGGAAUUAUUGGGCGUAAAGCGCGCGCAGGCGGUUUCUUAAGUCUGAUGUGAAAGCCCACGGCUCAACCGUGGAGGGUCAUUGGAAACUGGGGAACUUGAGUGCAGAAGAGAAAAGCGGAAUUCCACGUGUAGCGGUGAAAUGCGUAGAGAUGUGGAGGAACACCAGUGGCGAAGGCGGCUUUUUGGUCUGUAACUGACGCUGAGGCGCGAA
This 715-nucleotide ribosomal RNA is filed under the name Priestia megaterium. RNAcentral's name for it is "bacterial SSU rRNA". It matches the Rfam family "Bacterial small subunit ribosomal RNA", at positions 61 to 757 of the family's 1533-position model. The record is from RNAcentral. Lineage: Bacteria; Bacillati; Bacillota; Bacilli; Caryophanales; Bacillaceae.